GAAAUGCGAUACGUAGUGUGAAUUGCAGAAUUCUGUGAAUCAUCGAAACCUUGAACGCAAAUUGCGCCCUUUGGCUAUCCGAAGGGCACGCCUGUUUGAGUGUUGGUUUCACUUCUCCUCAAACAAACACACACACUUGUGGUGUGCUUGCAGAGAGGGUUAUGGAAGAUCAAGCAGACAGAGAUGCUUGCUUGUCUUUUCAAAUACAGUGAAAGGUGGUCUUUUGCACGUUAAGCACGGCAAUCAACGUACCAUCGAGCAGUAUGCUGGUGACUCUUGUCUCCUUUGCUGACUCGGUUCUACGUGCCUGCUCUCUCGUCGAGCCUCCUUCGAAGGAACUGAACGAUAAGGGCGGACCUCGGUCCGUUCGAAUGUUCAUCAACCGAACCCUUCAACCUCA
This 400-nucleotide unclassified non-coding RNA is filed under the name uncultured fungus. RNAcentral's name for it is "sequence contains ITS1". The stretch from base 1 to 105 matches the Rfam family "5.8S ribosomal RNA", at positions 50 to 154 of the family's 154-position model. Lineage: Eukaryota; Fungi. The record is from RNAcentral.